CCUACGGGCGGCAGCAGUGGGGGAUAUUGCACAAUGGGGGAAACCCUGAUGCAGCGACGCCGCGUGGGUGAAGAAGCGCCUCGGCGCGUAAAGCCCUGUCAGCAGGGAAGAAAAUGACGGUAACUGAAGAAGAAGCCCCGGCUAAAUAAGUUCCAGCCGCCGCGGUAAUACGUAGGGGGCAAGCGUUAACCGGAUUUACUGGGUGUAAAGGGGGCGCAGACGGCGAUGCAAGCCAGGAGUGAAAGCCCGGGGCCCAACCCCGGGACUGCUCUUGGAACUGCGUGGCUAGAGUGCAGGAGGGGCAGGCGGAAUUCCUGGUGUAGCGGUGAAAUGCGUAGAUAUCAGGAGGAACACCGGUGGCGAAGGCGGCCUGCUGGACUGCAACUGACGUUGAGGCCCGAAAGCGUGGGGAGCAAACAGGAUUAGAUACCCGGGUAGUC
This 440-nucleotide ribosomal RNA is filed under the name uncultured bacterium. RNAcentral describes it as "partial 16S ribosomal RNA". It matches the Rfam family "Bacterial small subunit ribosomal RNA", at positions 338 to 795 of the family's 1533-position model. The record is from RNAcentral.